CAGAUCAACUGUCUAAAUAGGCACAAAAAGGCUUACUAGUCUAAGAAAUAUAUUAUUACUAUAUCAAAUUGUAAAUAAAUGAAUGCAAUAACGCCACCUAUCGGAACCUAAUUGCGUUAUUAGAAAACGUCUGAACGCCAUCUCUAACAAGGUCAUUCAUUCAGUAGAUUUUACUGUUCAAUUUUUUCAUUCCGGGGCCUUAAAUGAAAAUCGAUUCUUAAGGAGAAAACUCCAAAAACAGUCAAGUAAAUACGCCAUAUCAGAUAUAGCUCAAAAAGUUCGAGUCAAAUCUCAAUUAUAUUUAAAUGGGACCACAUGACAAGCACCACCUAUCGAUUAAAAAAAGAAUCAUCGAUAUCGGUCCACCCAGUAAAAUAGUAAUGAGGUUAAUAUAACGUUGGUCGACGUAAAAUAGCCAAGUAAAUACCCAGUAUUAGCGAUAACUCAAAAAUUAAAAGCUCAAAUAUAUUUAUAACGAAUAAACUGCUACUCUCUACUCUAGUGGAAUAUUGUAAUUUGAUCGAUAGUGAACGAAGUAAUUUCAUUACAUUUUGAUAGAUGGCGUUGUGGCAAAGUAUUGAACAUGACCACAGUCGUCUUAACAUCGUCAUGUAAAUACGUGUCAUCAAAGAUUACUCAAAAAUUGCUCAUUAUUAUCUCAAUCAUAUUUAAAACGGACGACAUGACAAGUAUUAGCUUUUGAUUUAUACAAAAAAGAUCAAAAUCAGUGCACCCAGUAAAAAGAUAUAACGUAUAAUACAACGUAGGGUGACGAAAAUAAUGUCAAGUAAAUACGCGUUAUCAAAGAUUAAUCAAAAAGUAGUUAUCAGAUCUCGAUAAAAUUUAUAUGUGACCAUAUGAUAAACAUCAGCUUUCGAUUAAAGUAAAAAUUAUCAAAAUCGAUACACCCAGUAAAAAGUUAUUGCGGAUUUUCAAGAGUUUCUCUCGAUUUCUCUGGGAUCCCAUCAUCAGAUCCUGGUUUCCUUAUCGUGGUACCAAACUAAAGAUAUCCCCUUUCCAACAAAAAAAGAAUUAUCAAAAUCGGUACACCCAGUAGAAAGUUAUGUGGUAUAAUACAACGUAGGUCGACGAAAAAAGCGUCAAGUAAAAACGCAUUAUUAGAUAUAAUUCGAAAAGUAGUUGUUAGAUCUCAAAUAAAUUUAAAUGGGACCAAUCGGCACACACCACCUUUCGAUUAAAACAAAAUUUGUCGAAAUCGGUCUACCUAGUCAAAAGUUCUGAUGUAACAUACAU
This 1254-nucleotide unclassified non-coding RNA is filed under the name Melitaea cinxia (Glanville fritillary). RNAcentral describes it as "misc RNA ENSMCXG00005020481.1". Lineage: Eukaryota; Metazoa; Arthropoda; Insecta; Lepidoptera; Nymphalidae. The record is from RNAcentral.